GACGGAGGGUGCAAACGUUGUUCGGAAUUACUGGGCAUAAAGAGCACGUAGGCGGUUCGCUAAGUUGGGUGUGAAAGCCCCCGGCUCAACCGGGGAAUUGCUCCCGAUACUGGCGGACUAGAGAUCGGUAGGGGUGAGUGGAACUCCAGGUGGAGCGGUGAAAUGCGUAGAUAUCUGGAGGAACACCGGUGGCGAAAGCGGCUCACUGGACCGCAACUGACGCUGAGGUGCGAAAGCUAGGGUAGCGAACGGG
This 253-nucleotide ribosomal RNA is filed under the name uncultured bacterium. Its description in RNAcentral is "partial 16S ribosomal RNA". It matches the Rfam family "Bacterial small subunit ribosomal RNA", at positions 524 to 776 of the family's 1533-position model. The record is from RNAcentral.